CAGAAUUUUACUUUAAAAAUAUGGCAAUUUUUUAUUGACGGUCAAAGUAAUUAGCAACAAUGGUCAUAUUUUAUUACCUGACUUUAAAGAAGGGUUAUUUUUUUAUAACAUGCACAUGUAAAAUGCUAGUACUUAUCGUUCAUUAUCAUCUAACACGUGAACGAUAACCUUGGUCGCCCUGGAUCUUCAGUCAUGGCCCUUUUAUCCUUUUUAGAUCUUAAAUGAACUCUAAUGUCAAAAUGUAUCUUUAAAAUGCUAGUAAGUCUGGAUGCAUGUAGUAAAUAAUGUAAAUACUUCGACUUAUAUACGCAAAGCGAUGUUUAUAUUUGUGAUUUCAUUUUUAUACCUAGUACGAGAGAAAUCUCCACUUGUUUCGAAAUCCCAUCAUCUAGAGAACGAAUAAGCAAAUGUAAGUAUGUGUUGUCAAAUUUGAAGCCUUAACGAGUUUCCGUAUCACACUAAAGACAAAGCAAAACGUUGCCUUGUAAGAAUUUUCCGACGGAGGACUUCCCGGAAAACAAAGAUUUCAAACUGUGCCCUAGAAGCCACGCGUACCAAUCCUAUUUUGUUUAAAAUUCACCCAUUUUCUUAUUUACGUCUUACUUAAUCGAAUUAUAAUAUAAUAAUCGAUAUGCUUUGUGACUGAAUACAUAGCUAUAAAAAGAAAAUAAAGCAGGCCAGGCGGCCAUGAUAUGAAACGACUCAGGUAAGUACAAGGUAUUUUACAUUCAGCCACUUAUGUCAGUCAUUGGAAUAACAACUUUGUACGAUUUUUCCUAGUUCUCUAUAGAAGUUAUUUGAAUUAAGUACCUACGCAAGGAACUGUUAUAUAAAUCAAUACAGUGGAUUGAUUAUCAAUUAAUUAUUCAUUGGGGUAGGUCUUAGAGCACAAAGAAAUCAACAGAUAAUUAAGCAUAGAUAUCAUACAGGCGUCUUUGUAAUUAACAGCUAGCUUUUCUUUUUACUGUAAACUGAGUCCCAAUUCUGCUGUUAACAAUGGUCGUUGAAUGAAUGAAAAUUGGAUUAAAUUUGACACUUCUAAUAUUCUCUUAGCAUUUAGCCAACUCAAUGAUUGGAAAGUAAUUGUCAUUGGCACCGGGAAAAAGAGGUAAGUAAUAUAUUAAGUGAAAAUUAAUAUGGUUUUUUAUUUUAUUUUAUGAAUAGGUAUAUAAUAUUGGGUAAUAAUUGUCUUCUAAAUAGAGGAGGAAAUUAGUUGACCGCUGUUCGAUUACGAUGCCUACGUCCGCAGUAAUCAAUCUUGGAUUCAACGAAGAACGUCGAGAUUGCCGCCAUAAUCCGUGUUACCAUACGUAAUAUUGGAAGCAAUAUCUAUCCUUAUAGUAUAAAUUAAUUCCGUGAACAUUAUCAGUUUUACAAAAUAUUAAGUAACUAGGUACAUAUAAUGUAUUUAAAGAUAAUUUAUCGUGUAGCUCUCAAGUACGCUGCUGACUUUGUAUACCUAAUCUUGAACCGAUUUAGACAGAAAUCUUAUCAAGUGUAAUUAAAUACUUAUCAUUAAUAAUACCUCCCUAUCUUACUUGCCUUCAAACAGCAUUUGAGAGAUGUUUUUUAUUUACUAAACAGGCUGGAUAAUUUUACUUAGUAAUAAUUUUAGUAAAUGGGGCACAAUGGUUUCAGCUAAAUACUUAUUUCCUGGUUAUAAUAACGCCUAAUAGAAUUAUGAAAACUUCUCCAAGUCAUAAGAAGACACAACAAUCCGACGUCUACUUCGCAAGCUUGUUUUACUAGUUAUCCGAUGUCUUUUAACGAAUAAAAAUAGCUAGAUGCAGACUUUAUUUAAUCGACUUGAUGACAUAAACUCAACAUUACAGAUCGAUGAACCCAGUGGAUCCUGUGGGCUUUAUAGAAACUCGUUUUGUCUACCAGAUGUAGAUGAGCGCUUCAUAAAACUGUCAAAUAUGUAUCAAAUUAAAGAAUUAAAAGAACUCAGAAUUGGA
Trichoplusia ni (cabbage looper) is the source of this 1958-nucleotide long non-coding RNA. RefSeq lists it as uncharacterized. The record is from RefSeq and is a predicted model, not a curated record. NCBI's taxonomy places the organism in Eukaryota, Metazoa, Arthropoda, Insecta, Lepidoptera, Noctuidae. The transcript has 2 exons.